This 667-nucleotide ribosomal RNA is filed under the name Coelastrum sp. ABT203. Its description in RNAcentral is "eukaryotic LSU rRNA". The stretch from base 223 to 376 matches the Rfam family "5.8S ribosomal RNA". The record is from RNAcentral. Lineage: Eukaryota; Viridiplantae; Chlorophyta; Chlorophyceae; Sphaeropleales; Scenedesmaceae.
UUCGAUCGUAACAAGGUGGCAGCGCGGCCCCCUGGGCUGGCGGGCUUCGGGGCUGGUCCCGCAAGGGCCCAGUUCCGGGAGGGCCCAGUUCCGGGGUUAUCUGCUCGAUUGCGUGUCUUUUUUCCCACACCCAGUGAAAACUGAGUUGUGGCCUGAAAGGGACACAGCCAAACCAAACUCUGAAGAAAAGGCUAGCACACGUUGCUGGUCACUAACGAAAACAACUCUCAACAACGGAUAUCUUGGCUCUCGCAACGAUGAAGAACGCAGCGAAAUGCGAUACGUAGUGUGAAUUGCAGAAUUCCGUGAACCAUCGAAUCUUUGAACGCAUAUUGCGCUCGACCCUUCGGGAGAGAGCACGUCUGCCUCAGCGUCUUUUUAACCCCUCACACCCCCAUUCCUUGUCGAAUGGUGCCAAGCCCACGUGGCUUGCGGGUGUGGAAUUGGCUUCCCCAAUCGGCCUUGCUGCUGCUUGGGUUGGCUGAAGUGCAGAGGCUUGAGCAGGGACCCGAUAUGGGCAUCAACUGGAUAGGUACCCGGCGGCCCCACCGGCUGUAUACACGAAGUUGUUGCUUGUGGACCCUGCUGGAGGCCCGCAGGAAACACGGCUUGCCGUGACCUUAAAUUUUGACCUGAGCUCAGGCGAGACUACGGACUGAACUUAGGC